Scylla paramamosain (green mud crab) is the source of this 1761-nucleotide long non-coding RNA. RefSeq lists it as uncharacterized. The record is from RefSeq and is a predicted model, not a curated record. NCBI's taxonomy places the organism in Eukaryota, Metazoa, Arthropoda, Malacostraca, Decapoda, Portunidae. The transcript is spliced from 3 exons.
GAGGAGAGAACAGGUGCUUGGGAGAUGAAAAUGUAUGUAUGUAUGAAUAUUUUCCCUAUCAUACACAAAAACACCCUAGAAAUCCUAUAUAUAACUUGCUAUAGAACACACUCACUCUCUCCCAUGUGCCCACUCCCUCUCACCUCCCACACACCUGCACUUCCCGUCCUGCAGCCUCUAAGCUGACCCUAACCUAACCUAACCUAACCCAUCAGAGGAGGAGGAGGCCAUCGUCAGCACCGCACGUCCUGAGACAACGCUUGGGGACACUGCCACCAUGCUGCACCCCGAGGACCCCUGCUACACCCACUUACACGCCCAACGCCUGCUUCACACACUGCCACGGGAGACCAUACCUAAAUCUGGGAACAAGUAUUCAGAAGAUCUUUUUAAGACUGCAAAGAUGUGGUUGUCAGCAGAUAAUAUUGAAGGAAUAGCAAACCUGUGUUUUAAAAAAUGAUCCCCACUGGAUGGACAAGAAUGGCAUGACUAUUCUUCACUUAUUGCAGUGUACUGUGCACUGCUAAGCUCUUGGAUGGUAUAGUUCAUCCUCAUGUGGUGACCCUUGAAGGCUUCACACCACUAGAUUUGGCAAGGCUGGAAUUUAAAAAGUCAGAUUGAGUUGUCUGGAAGCUGAGAUGAGUUGGUCGGGUAAUGAGUGACUUGCAUCAAGUGACCGUGAGGUGUUGGACGUGAUAUUGUGUUAUUGCAAGUGUAACCAGUAAUAAGUAAGUCCUUUCUUUAUAACUCUUCAUACAUGGAUUUGUCAUACAUGGAUGGAUAAGGCCCUUGUACAGAGUCAGCAGCUGAGGGGGUGAGAAAAACUGGCAGACAUCUCAGAAUGCCUAACUUCAUAGAAGCUGUUUUAGCUAGAGAUGAGAUAUGAAGUUUCCAGUUUCCAGACUGAGGAGGUUCAGUGUAGAAGAGGGGAUAGUUGUUGUCUGGAAGGUUGUGUUGAGUUGAUAGAUGGAGGAAUUGAGUUUUUGAGGCAUUGAACAAUACCAGGUUUGCUCUGCCCCAGUCAGAAAUUUUAGAGAGAGAUUAGAAGUGAGGCAUCCUGUGGCUUCCCUGCGUGAACUGUUUGCCUCCCGAAGGGUUGGACGUCUAUGAAAAGAUGUGGAAAAGUGCAGGGUGGAAUCAUCAGCGUAGGAGUGGAUAGGACAAGAAGUUUGGUUUAGAAGAUCAUUGAUGAAUAUAGGAAGAGAGUGGGUGACAGAACGCUGAGGAACACCACUGUUAACAGAUUUAGGAGAAGAACAGUGACUGUCUACCACAGCAGCAAUAGAAUGGUCAGAAAGGAAACUUGAGAUGAAGUUACAGAGAGAAGGAAAGAAGCUGUAGGAGGGUAGUUUGGAAAUGCAAGCUUUGUGCCAGACUAUCAGAAGCUUUUGAUAUAUCCAAGGCAACAGCAAAAGUUUCACCAAAAUCUCUAAAAGAGGAUGACCAAGACUCAGUAAGGAAAGCCAGAAGAUCACCAGUAGAGCGACCUUGAUGGACCCUAAUACUGGCAAUCAGAUAGAAGAAGGCUGUGAAGUGAUAGAUGUUUAAGAAUAUUCCUGUUGAGGGUAGAUUAAAAACUUUAGAUAGGCAGGAAAUUAAAGCAAUAGGACUGUUCUUUGAGGAAUUAAACCUAUUUCUGUUAUGAGCUAAGAUAGGCUAUGUUAGGUUAUAUUAAAUUAUAUAAUUAUUAUUUUUUGUUUCAUCAUUAUUAUUAAAGAAAGGACAUAGAACCGAGAAAAAUAAAGUUAAAAAUUAUUGUUA